UUAAUACAGUAUGGCGAAGUUGUCCAAGUGGCUACCUAACUCCGGAAAGGGUGGGACCGGAUGGGGGCGGGGCCCUGGGGCCUUGGCUGCAGUGAAGGGGCGCAUUGUACCUGCAGAGGGAUUGGCUGGGGGAGGAGGAAGCCCUGAGCUCCCACACUAGGACAGAACCAGGCUGGCCCAAAGGAGGCUUCAAAUCCAACCCGGUUAGAAUACAGGCGAGUACUCUGGCUCGGAAGGGGAGGGGGCCGGGCGAGCAUUGAAGAGCUACAACUAGCCGAGGCCCGGUGGGCCACGAGCUGGACAGACACGAAGGACGACCAGAGCGAAGGCCACGGCCCCGCGCAGGCCGCCGUACGACAUGACCACCUGGUCUAUGAUCUCCAGCUGCACCAUCCGGUACCGGUUCAGGACCCAGGUCUGCAGGACGACACCUGCGGGCCGGCCUGCGCUGAGCUCCCACGCGCCAGGAGCACCGCCCCGCCCCUUCCCGGCAGCCACCACACUGAGGGGAGCAACAUUUGGGAAUUCCCCCCUUGGGCAGUGACAGUGAGGGCGACGGGUUCUGUUCUGAGCAAUGGCUCACAAAAAUGCCACCCCGGAGUUCUGCUCUCCCCACACCCUCCUGUCUACACCAGCGUUCUCUCUUGGCCGCGGGUCAAACCUGCCCCUGUGACCCACGUGGCAGUGGAGGCCUUGUGUCCUAGGACCCCCGACACUGCCUCAGUCUGGCAGCCCCUCCCUGGAGCCCCCAGUCCCCACUGAGCACAGGCAGAACGGGUGGUGAUCCCACCCCAGCCUGCACUCCAAGGAUGGGCAACAAGGGUCACAGCGGGGAGCAGGGCUCCUGCCUCACAGGAGCCUCCAUCUGCUUCCUCAGUGACUGUAUCCACAGUGAGUCAAGGGGAAACCAAGUGGGUUCCUCUACGUUCUAGAACCUUCUACCCUGCCCCCCAGUUGUGCUCUCUCCAUCUCAAGGUGACAAGGCUGUGAAGAAAGCCUGAACCUUCGCUGAAGAUAACCGAUGGCCUGGCCACUGAGGCUCCCCAGGGGCUCCUGAGCCGGCCAUUCACUGGGCUGGGGAGUUCCACAGACUCCCCACAGCUGUAACCCACUGUCCACCCUCCACUGUCCCCACCACCCCUCGUCAUUCGUACUGCCCCCCAUCAUGCCCCAUCCCCCAUCGUCUCCCCUCCGCCCUGUCAUCCCCACUGCCCGCCACUCCCCAUCUCCCAUCAUCCCUGCCAUCACCCCCCCCUCCCCCUUGUCCCCACCAUCCGCCCAGCGCCCUCACCAAUGGCCCGGUACACGGAGAUGAAGACCAGAGUGAGGAGCACAAAGGCCGUGUUCCACUUCCAGAUGAGCGGGUUCACGGCCGAGAUGCCGAGGAACAUGAAGAUGAUGGUCUCCGCCCCGCUGGCCAGCAUCUUCAUGGUGUAGCGCACGGUGGUGGCCGACUGCUCCGAGAUGUUAGCCUUCACGUACUUCUGACAGCAGAUGCCACAGAAGCACGUGGCCCGGACCCUGGGCGGCUCUGGCGCCCCAGGCCGUGGGAGUGAGGGGAACUCACGCCAGGAUGGCCGACAGCGACAGCAUCUCGGACGUGAGGUAGGACAGGUACGAGAUGAUAAACACAAAGCCCGGCUCGAUGAUGCGCACAUGCUUGGUGAAGCGGGUCACCAGCGACAGCAGGAAGGCGAAGAUGACCCCCACCAGCGUGCCCCCCAGGCUCACCACGAAGAAGGACACUGCGGGCCGAGGACGCUGGCUGAACUGCCUGAAAGGCCCUUUGUGGCCGGGCGUGGCUGGCCCCUGUGUGGGCGCGGCUGACCGGCAGUCCUUCCAGACCAUUCCUCAUCUGGGGGUUGCCUGGUAACCCCACAGAGGCGCCAACAACUCAGCAAACAAGAGGCCGGUUCUCCCCCGCCCCCUCCCCAGAGGCCGGCGCGUGGAGAGCGGGAGGCCUGGCUCCCCUCCCCCAUUGUGGAGAAAGCCCAGGAAGGCAGCCUUAGGCAGAGCUGUCCGUGGGCCCCCAGGACAGCCGGGCUGUCAUUGUCCCUGCCCAGGGAAAUGUUUGCUCAGGACCACCCAGGACAUGGAUCCUCCAACCAGACAUGCUGGUGGGUCUCACAGGGCAGCAGCCCUUGCCUCCCCACGGUGCCAGGACCCAAGGAAAUUGUGUUGGUGAAACACAUUGGGACAGGAGGGAACUGCCAUGGAGACUUCAAAGUGGAAAUGCCUUUUCCUACACAGGCUGUGGGUCCUAGGAGGCCUGGUGCCGAAGCCUGGAGGUGCUCCCCAUGCUGGAGAGGAGAUGUGACCCCCACACUCCCCAGCUGCACGGACCCACCAGCCACACACCUAUGCCUUUCACACAAUCCACGCCAGUCACCUUGUCACCACCCAGCGUCACGAAAGAUUCAAACACGUUGUAGAGGACCUGGGGGGGACAGAGAGGCAAGCAUGACAUCAGGUCGGCCCUCAGCCAGCGCUCACCCCUCCCUGACUCAGGCCCCAGGCCUCGAGGACUUGGGCUGGAUGGAGCAGCCUAUGGUGGACGCCAAAAAUCACUGGGAGGAAAUCAUCACGGGGUAAUAAUGGUCAAUAAGACGAAGGCCAAGGAUGAGCCAGCAGGUGGGAUAGGAGAGGCAGAAGGACAUUCUAGAAGGAACUAGAAUCUUCAGGAGCAAACUUGGCCCUUUCCUACUCUCAGCAAAGCACAAAGCUCCCCACUGCAUUUAACUCUGUUUUGUUUUCCAAGAUGAAGCCAGAGUUUCAUUUUUAGUGACUUCACUCUCGUGUUGACUCCUGACUGUGGGAUCACACCCCUUGACGUCUUUGCACGCUGACACUUAAACUGUAUCCCACCAAGACAUUAGGGAUGAGAAGCUCAAGAACUGUUUGCUAGGCUCAGCUGCGGAGAGUGCUGUGUUUCCUGGGCCGAGCCCUCCCAAGGACGCGCCACUCCGCAUGGCCAGGCCGAGGGGCUGCCGUGGGCAGGAUGCAGGCUCCUCGGGAAGCACCUUGUCUCUGGGCUCAGAGCCCAGCUCUCCAGGUCUGCUCAAGGGGACAGAGGACCCCAAAAGGCAGGGCGUGCAGCUGUCUCUACAGCAGGAGUACGCGGACUGGACGAUGUGCUGGUGGUGGGCAGGGCCUGGCCUCGGAGGGCAGGCCCCGGGGAACAGACCACACUCUGGUAUCUCUGCGGAAGUGUGGGCGGGCGGGCGGGAUGAAGCCUCUCACAAGAUGUACGCAGAGCUCUGUGGUGAGCUCCGUGGUCAGGAGAGGCGAAGCCACGGCACACAGCAGCCCAACCUCGAAGGAGCCGUGUGUCACAUUUCUGAUUGCGUUUCCAAUUAAUUAUCGGAUUCCCCCGAGAACAUCUUCUCUGUUACAGAAGGAUCUGGUGCGGCCCAACCUUAGGACCCUUCAGCCUCCUGAACCCGGGAAGGACGCGAGAAGGGAGUUUCUUGGAGAGGCCACUGGGACUUUCAGAGCCCAGACAGAUCUUCAUAUCCCGCUGCGCCUGCAGAGCCCUCGGGAUGGGCAGGGGGCCGGUGGGGCCAGGGCAGGUGCUCGGAGACACAUCGCCCGGCUGACCCGCGCAGGGAAAGUGCUCUGUGCGUGCCUCCGUGUUACCCAUAACUCACUCACACAGGUGUAGUGGCCCAGUUUGGGGACGGGUUUCGAAAACUCCAUGCCAGAUGCUGUGAUGUGGAGACGGUGUCCCCACAUUUCAUGAGUCUUUUGUUCGCUUUGUGGAGAGGUUGUGCCCUCACAGCCUAACACAGGGUCCUCCAGCCCCUGCCCCCCCACAGGGCCCUGCCCUCCUGGAGAGAAAGCCGCCUUCGUGGGCACACAACCCAUGCCAGCUCAUCUUCCUUCCUGAAUUCUGGUGAGGUCUUGCUGUGUGUCCUCAGCUGCUCUCUUAGGGGACUCAGGAACUGGGGGCACCAAGUCUGGGCCCGAAGUUAGAGCCGUCCAGCUCUGGGAACCGAGGCGGUGGGCCAACUGAUCGUUACCACGAUGGGGGAAAACGGACGAGGAAUUGGUCAGGCAGGUGGUCAUUCUGAGUUGCUCAGGGAAGGGAGCCAUGCGACAAGGGUGGCAUGGGGAAGCCUCCUGCGGUCGGAGCUGCGAGCGGAGGAAGAGACCCUCCCACAGAUGUGGCCUCCUCGAAGGCCGCUUCCUCUGCCCUCUGCACCGAGGGGCACUGCGGCCACAGGGGGACCGUGUUUCUCCCGCCCAGUGGCUCUGAGAUGCUCUGUGCCACGUCCCAGGGCCCGCCCGGCACCCGCUCACCACAGUGACGGCAUCGUUCAGCAGUGACUCCCCAAAGACGAUGAUGAACAGGACCUCGUUGACGUGCACCUCCUCGAACACGGCCAGGACAGCCACCGGGUCCACGGCGGCAAUCAGGCUGCCAAACAGGAGGAAAUCCAGCAGCCCGAUGUUCAGGUCUCCUGCAAGACAGGCAGGGCCAUCAAGGAGAGCCCUUUGGGGCCCAGGCAGAAUGAGGGCCUCGGAGCCAGGCACCCUUCCUGCCCUUGGCCUUCUGGGGGGCUGCCUCAGGCUGCUGUCCUGCUGAUGGCUGGGUUGGAGUCCCCUCAGGAUGAGGACUCGGAGUCUCUUAGGUCCGGAGCUGGCUGGUUAAGAGAACCUGGGUCAGACUGCCUGCCUCCCUCCCACGGGCUCCCACAGCCUUCAGGAAUGGUUGGUCUCACCCCCAGCAGGGACUGACCGCCCCUGCUUCUUCCCUUCAUCUCCCCUGGGCCUGGCUGCUCCCUUCUGGCCAGCCUGCCGGGAGGGUGCUCAAGCAGAUGGGGGGCCCAGGGUACUCGGACAGGCACAGCAUGGAAUCAGACCCCGGCCCUGGGCGGUCUGCAGGCCAGGGAUGGACAUGGCGUAUGUGCUAGGUGGCAGGUGGUUGGGGGCUCAACAGGCAUGGGGGAAAGGGCUCCCUGGGAAGUGAUAUCUCAGGCCAGAUCAGAGCCACCAGGACCAGCCUGAGGGGAGGUGAUGGAGGGGGACAGGGCAGGGACAGGCCUCACAGGGUCUGGGGAAACCCUGGGGUCUCCAACAGGACGGGCUGCCAGGGAGGUCUGAGCGACAAGAGGGGAGAUGGGGGCUCAGAGAGGAGGAAGGGAGCUUGGAGGCACAGGUCCUCAAAGCUCAGCCUAGCUUGCUUCUUGGAGUGGCCCCUGCCCAGCAGGUUCCUGGUGCCCUGGGGGGCAGGGGUCAUGCUGAGAUGCACUUUCCAGCUUCUCUGUCCUUCCAGAUUCAUCUCAGUCUCCAGCAGCAGUCUGCCCUGGACACCACCUCAGGGACCCUCAUAUGGUUGCCCGUCCCAGCUCUGUUCGGGACACACAGGCUCUCAGCAGGCUGGUUGGAGGAGGGCCUUGUCCAGGGGCCUUCUUGGCAUGGAGCCUCCUUCCCCAGGCUGACAGGACUUAAACAGAACCCAGGGGCCUGUCAGGCCUGGAAGCCAUGGGAGAGGCCCGCCGGGGUGGGGAAGGUGGAAACCGUGUGGGCUGGACGCCUGGCCGUUCAGGGCUGUGGGCCCCCUCCAGGUCAAGGACAGGAGGGUUCCGCAGGAGCCCGGCUCUCCCGCGGGGCCAGGCAGGGCCCUGGGCGAAGGUUGUGUCUGCGGAGAGGCAGGGCCCUGGAGGGGGUUUCCUGUGAGCUCUGGGUGUUGAAGCAGUGACAGGUGUCAGAACCAGCUUCCAGUGACUUUAAAAUGUCUGUUUUGGAAAGGGAAUCACAGGCUUCGCUCUCCCAUCGCCAGACACCGCGGGUGAGGCGGAGGGAGGAACACGGUCCUUCUUGGCUUCAGACGCCAGGGGCUCCCAGAUGCACAUUCCCCUGCACAUUCCCCUUUGAGGUGUUCCGUCUUUAAGCGCUUCCUGGCUCGAUGGCCUCCCGCUGUCCACAGACCCUGACAGACCUGGUGGUACAUUCUAGAAGCCAGCCAUCCAAGCAGCAAGUGCCCCAGGUCUGGGAGCAGCCUGCUUUCCUCCCUGGCAGGACGGUCCACCACCCCCUGCCAACAAGUUUCCCGGGACCGGACUGCACUGUGGGCGCCCGAUGACCAGCUGUGUGCUCUAGGACCCUCUUUCUGCCACGGGCAAGAGGACCUGAGUUUACACCCAUCUGAGGGGGCCUCUCUGACUGACGGCCUGGAGCCUCUGCUGGGCCUAACCCCAGCUGGCCUGUCCAGAUGCCCGCCCAGGAUCCCCACUGCCAGGCCUACCUGCGGCCUGGCCUAGGCCAACCAUUCCUCAGAGGGGUAUCUCCCUGGCCUUGACCUGCACCUCAGAGCCUGGUCACCGGUCUGCAGAAACUGAGCCCUAUACCUCCCAAGCCCCAUCAGCUCCAGGCUCCGGGUGUCUGGGGACAGGACAGACUCAUUGGCCCCUGGGUGCUGUUCUGCUCCGUGACCUUGCCUCACGCCCACCCUUGACCACCUGCAUCCUGAGGGCUGAACACAGGCACCCUCAGGGACUCUUGUUCCAAACCCCAAGACUUGCCCCUGGGUCCAGUGGCUGGAGGUGGUCCUGUCAUCUUAGCUAAGACCCAGCUAUCUAAAUGCAUCGCCAAUAAAUGCAACUGAAUGCCCCCGAGGCUUACUCACCAGCGAGGCCUGGCCAGGUGCCUUCGGCCCUAUGUCACCCUUGGGGGGGGGUUCUCUGGGUUGGGCCUGGGGGUGGUGCCAGAUGGCAGCAGGGGCUCAAAGGGGCAUGUGUGUUCCCCACGGGGCUGAGGACAAAGUCCUGAGAUGACAAAUGGGCCAGGCAAGGCAAGAGUUCCUGUCAGGGGCCCUUUGGCCUCUCUCAGUUCAUGUCCUUUGUCACCAAGGCUCCAAGGCCCUGAUCCUUGCGGGGAGCGAAGCACAGACUCUUCCUUCAGUCAGAUGGAAACCACUGGCCGGGCGCCUCCCUAGGAGUCUGGUUCUUGCAGGUGGAGGUGUUUGGGGCCAAGGCUGAGCACACAGACAGGUGCCCGUGGUGCCGACUGCCACUUCUCCUUGGUCACCCCCAGCACUGUGAGCUAGAGCUGGCGGCCCACGCCACAGACGGGCAGCAACCCCGGAGCGGGCCGCGUUUAGGGCUGUGUGCACUCUGUGCAAGGCCUCAGGGGAGCCCCGGACUCGCCUGCUCCAGUUUCCCAGGAGACACGGGCCGGGGAACCGAUGCAGACACACCGAUGAAUGGUGGCCGAGUGGCGGCCCGUGUGGCUUCUCUUGCUUGGGUAGGAGGGACCCAAUCUUUGCGCUCGGGUACGAGUCUGCCGGGGCUCCUCAAUCUGGCCUCUGCCAGAGGGGGCCUUCCCCUCCCUUUCCCUGGGGGCUUGGUGCAGGGAAGGGAGGCCCAGCCCCGCCUUCUUGCUGAGCGGGAGGGACAGCAGCUCAGCGGUCCCACCCACCCCACCCACCCGCUAACCUGGUUGGACAGGAUUUCAUUCCCAAGCAGGACGCAAGCCUCAGCCUGGGGAUGCCCAGAUAGCUGUUGUUUAUUAAUUAAACCUUAUUUUAAACACACCAAUCCGGUUAAACGGACCCACCAGUGAGCGUUGUCACCCCGAACACUCAUCCUCUUUCUGGGUCUGUAUUCUGUAUCCUGAGCUUUCUUAAGUAGGGCUGCCACACCCUGCUCCUGCAGAGCCCACCCCGAGAACACCCCCCAGGACCUCGCCCGAGGACCCCACCCGAGGACCCCACCCCGAGAACA
This is a long non-coding RNA of Ailuropoda melanoleuca (giant panda), 7724 nucleotides long. RefSeq lists it as uncharacterized. Lineage: Eukaryota; Metazoa; Chordata; Mammalia; Carnivora; Ursidae. The transcript has 4 exons. The record is from RefSeq and is a predicted model, not a curated record.